UUGGAUUCGUCUGAGGUGAGAGUGGCGGACGGGUGAGUAACACGUAGGUGACCUGCCCCGGAGGAGGGGGACAACCACUGGAAACGGUGGCUAAUACCCCCAGAUGUUAUUGCGCUUAGAAAGCAAUUACUAAAGCUCCGGCGCUCCGGGAGGGGCCUGCCGGCCCAUCAGCUUGUUGGUAGGGUAAUGGCCUACCAAGGCAAAGACGGGUAGGGGGCGUGAGAGCGUGACCCCCCACACUGGUACUGAGACACGGACCAGAUACCUGCGGGUAGCAGCAGCAAGGAAUAUUCGCCCAAUGGACGAAAGUCUGAGGCAGCAACACCGCGUGGAGGAUGAAGGCCUUCGGGUUGUAAACUCCUUUCUGGGGGAAGAGAAAGGACGGUACCCCAGGAAUAAGUCUCGGCUAACUACGUG
RNAcentral lists this ribosomal RNA (417 nucleotides) under uncultured bacterium. Its description in RNAcentral is "bacterial SSU rRNA". It matches the Rfam family "Bacterial small subunit ribosomal RNA", at positions 74 to 507 of the family's 1533-position model. The record is from RNAcentral.